GCCCGUCCCUAAUUUUAAGAAUUUUUAAAGUUUUAAUAAAGGAUUUUACAAAAAUGCCCUUUGAGGCACGCACAUCAUUCGAGGUUAAUCGUUGUGUCGUGCCAUCUAAGAUUUGUUUUCUUGACAUAUCCUCGUAGUACUCGUCGUUACGGACGCGUGGGCGCAGACGGUUCGUGAUUUGGAGUUAUAUCGAAGAAGUUAUUAACGUUUGAAAUUUGGAAUUUUAAGGAAUUAUAAUUUUAGUAAAAUAUAGAAAUUCUUUUAUGAAAUUGGACGGCCCAGAUUUAUUGAUGAAUGAAAUGGAUGGCUGGGAUGAGGGAAAGGUUUUUUGUGUGUGUGUAUGUGUAUGAGAAGAAGAAACAGAAAACAGAAAAGAAGAAGAGACUGGGCAGAAAUGCCCAAUCGGAGAAGAAGA
This 415-nucleotide long non-coding RNA is filed under the name Malus domestica (apple). RNAcentral's name for it is "long non-coding RNA (MDOM_LNC003225)". Lineage: Eukaryota; Viridiplantae; Streptophyta; Magnoliopsida; Rosales; Rosaceae. The record is from RNAcentral.